GGUGUCCAUGAUGUCAUUUUACCUACAUUGUUCGAUUUCUGCUGAGAAAAACCCAAAUCUGAGACACCC
Molecule: small nucleolar RNA, 69 nt
Organism: Taeniopygia guttata (zebra finch)
Lineage: Eukaryota; Metazoa; Chordata; Aves; Passeriformes; Estrildidae
Gene: SNORD34
Rfam family: Small nucleolar RNA SNORD34
About the family: snoRNA U34 is found in intron 5 of the ribosomal protein L13a gene in humans. U34 is a member of the C/D class of snoRNA which contain C (UGAUGA) and D (CUGA) box motifs, and functions in directing site-specific 2'-O-methylation of 25S rRNAs. Although the selection of the target nucleotide requires the antisense element and the conserved box D or D' of the snoRNA, the methyltransferase activity is thought to reside in one of the protein components.
Source: Ensembl